UAAAGCUAUUUUUUAGAGGUUUCUUUUAAUAAUGAUUGACAAACAAGUAAUUCAAAACAUGAACAACAACAGAAAAAAAAAUAAUUAACUGCAUGAAAAUUACUCUUUCUCAUUGAUAGUUAUGAGAAAGAAUGCAUAAGUACAGUGGGACAUUUGGUUAAGAUUUUCUUCUUAAGAAAAAAAUAAUCUUACAUGUUUUUCCUCUAGAGAUUGAGAAGAGAUCCGAAGAUCUCAACAUACACAAGUCUGCAAUUAAAGACCACCAGCUGCUGUGUGACAGUGUGCGAUGGAAACGACCGUGACAGACGGGUGAGUGACAGAUGCGAGAGUGAUGGAGUGUGCUUCACUACUUCAGACUUCCU
Cyprinus carpio carpio is the source of this 362-nucleotide long non-coding RNA. NCBI's taxonomy places the organism in Eukaryota, Metazoa, Chordata, Actinopteri, Cypriniformes, Cyprinidae. The record is from Ensembl.